Molecule: small nucleolar RNA, 148 nt
Organism: Phyllostomus discolor (pale spear-nosed bat)
Lineage: Eukaryota; Metazoa; Chordata; Mammalia; Chiroptera; Phyllostomidae
Source: RefSeq, a predicted model, not a curated record
CUUAGAAGAGAGUAAAGAAAUCUACGUGCAUUCCUGAACUUGGCUCUUCACUGUGAGACAGAUCAAUGGCACUACUGGCCUUGCUGCUGUUCCUGCUGCUACCUCCAGUUCCAGGCAGCUGCCUGCAGGGGGGUCCAACAGGUGAAAG